RNAcentral lists this ribosomal RNA (496 nucleotides) under uncultured bacterium. RNAcentral describes it as "partial 16S ribosomal RNA". It matches the Rfam family "Bacterial small subunit ribosomal RNA", at positions 28 to 506 of the family's 1533-position model. The record is from RNAcentral.
GAUGAACGCUGGCGGCGUGCCUAAUACAUGCCAGUCGAGCGAACAGACGAGGAGCUUGCUCCUCUGACGUUAGCGGCGGACGGGUGAGUAACACGUGGAUAACCUACCUAUAAGACUGGGAUAACUUCGGGAAACCGGAGCUAAUACCGGAUAAUAUAUUGAACCGCAUGGUUCAAUAGUGAAAGACGGUUUUGCUGUCACUUAUAGAUGGAUCCGCGCCGCAUUAGCUAGUUGGUAAGGUAACGGCUUACCAAGGCGACGAUGCGUAGCCGACCUGAGAGGGUGAUCGGCCACACUGGAACUGAGACACGGUCCAGACCCCAACGGGGGGCAGCAGUAGGGAAUCUUCCGAAAGGGGCGAAAGCCUGACGGAGCAACGCCGGGUGAGUGAUGAAGGUUUGCGGAUCGUAAAACUCUUUUAUUAGGGAAGAAAAAAUGUGUAAGUAACUAUGCACGUCUUGACGGUACCAAAGCAGAAAGCCACGGCUAACUACGU